CCUACGGGGGGCUGCAGUGGGGAAUAUUGCACAAUGGGCGCAAGCCUGAUGCAGCCAUGCCGCGUGUGUGAAGAAGGCCUUCGGGUUGUAAAGCACUUUCAGCGGGGAGGAAGGCGUUAAGGUUAAUAACCUUGUCGAUUGACGUUACCCGCAGAAGAAGCACCGGCUAACUCCGUGCCAGCAGCCGCGGUAAUACGGAGGGUGCAAGCGUUAAUCGGAAUUACUGGGCGUAAAGCGCACGCAGGCGGUCUGUCAAGUCGGAUGUGAAAUCCCCGGGCUCAACCUGGGAACUGCAUUCGAAACUGGCAGGCUAGAGUCUUGUAGAGGGGGGUAGAAUUCCAGGUGUAGCGGUGAAAUGCGUAGAGACCUGGAGGAAUACCGGUGGCGAAGGCGGCCCCCUGGACAAAGACUGACGCUCAGGUGCGAAAGCGUGGGGAGCAAACAGGAUUAGAUACCCGAGUAGUC
Molecule: ribosomal RNA, 465 nt
Filed under: uncultured Klebsiella sp.
Lineage: Bacteria; Pseudomonadati; Pseudomonadota; Gammaproteobacteria; Enterobacterales; Enterobacteriaceae
Description: bacterial SSU rRNA
Rfam family: Bacterial small subunit ribosomal RNA
Source: RNAcentral